This 268-nucleotide ribosomal RNA is filed under the name Papilionanthe hookeriana. Its description in RNAcentral is "partial 26S ribosomal RNA". It matches the Rfam family "Eukaryotic large subunit ribosomal RNA", at positions 1 to 263 of the family's 3401-position model. Lineage: Eukaryota; Viridiplantae; Streptophyta; Magnoliopsida; Asparagales; Orchidaceae. The record is from RNAcentral.
GCGACCCCAGAACGGGUGAGACCACCCACCGAGUUUAAGCAUAUCAAUAAGCGGAGGAGAAGAAACUUACGAGGAUUCCCCUAGUAACGGCAAGUGAACUGGGACAUGCCCAACAUGGGAAUCGGGCUGCCCUGCAGUGGCUCUAAUUACAGUCUGUAGAAUCUUCAUCUGCGACAGAUUGGACCCAAAUUCCCUGGAAAGGGGCGCCUAGGAGGGUGAGAGCCUCGUUUGGCCCGAACCCUGUCGCAACACGAGGAGCUCUCGGCGA